Molecule: long non-coding RNA, 1675 nt
Organism: Bactrocera neohumeralis
Lineage: Eukaryota; Metazoa; Arthropoda; Insecta; Diptera; Tephritidae
Exons: 3
Source: RefSeq, a predicted model, not a curated record
UGCAUUUUUCUGAAAGUAUCGCAAAUGUUAAAAAAUGUAAUGUGCAAGUUAUUUAUUUACACUUACUUCCAUGCAUUUAUUGGCUGUUUCCUCGAUCGUGUUUAUUUAAAGCCUUCCCUACAAGACGGAGGUAACAGAUUGCACAAACACAUUCAGAAAUUUCCAGCUGUUCACCAACACUGUUACAUUGUGUGCAAUUUUCGAUUGAAUGGAACAAAGCGCUUUCAAACUUAUCGAAAUAUUAAUAUGUUUAAAGAGAAAAGGUGAUACACAAUUUUUCAAGAAAAAUUAUUAAUAACUAAAGCUGAACAAUUCGCAAUAGUUUGGUUAAUUUUGGCAUUUCAACAAAUUAAAAAUACGAGAAAAAACUAUUGAAGUAAGUUUACAAAAACGACUGGACAUUGUUGGACAUGAUAUCUGUUUAAGUUGAAACUGCUUGGUGGUUAUACAUGUUAUCAAACCGCUGCCUUUAAAAGUGAAUUAUGAGGGAGAAACUUUGCUAUAUCUCUUAUGACAUCCAGAUGAAACAGUGAAUAGCGUUAGAAACAACUGAGCUUAUCACAAAUAGCUUCCAAUUAGCGAAUUUUACUAAUACAAUAUUUUGUUCUUUACUACAGUUAUCUGAGGAUUGUGUGGUUAAUGUUUUGAGGCGCUAUUCCAACAGCAUUUAAUAAACGUUGAAGGACACGGCAUCGCUGGGUCAGUGUUUAACAUCAAACAAACAGAAACUUACAAAGAGUUGACAAUAGUAGCAAGCACCAAAAGUUAUAGAAAGAAACUUCAUGUAAUUGUUGCCUUAAAGUUAUAUCUAUACUUCGUUUUGUUUUCUGUUAAUAUAACUUGCAAUAAUAUGUACAUUUACGUUAAAAAUUACAAGAUAGUUAUCUAUUAACAACUUUGAAAGUCUAUAUUAACAAAAUGUAUUUAUGAAAUUGAUGAUUCCUCUCACGCUAUAUAUACAUACGUAUGGUAUUAAUUAAUUUAAAAACUUAAUUUACGUAAAAUGAUUUUACAAUUAAAUAACGCAUCAUAAGAAUUGAAUUUGUUAGAAGUAACAAAUCGAAGUAACAGAUAUGCUAGUUACUCCUUGUAACUGCUAACAUGUUUAUAUGUUAAAGGCAACAAACUGUUAACCAAAAUAAUAACACUAACAGAAAUUUUAAAAACAAAUACUUUUUAUUAUGCAUAACACAUAGGUAGUUUAUGCGCUAACAAAAGUAUUUGUUACAACAAACUGUAAAGAGAUUUGUUAUCAGAUGUAUGUCAUAUCUCAGAACUGGGCAGCAUGCGAUAUUAGCCAUUGAAAAGGAGAAAACCAUUGAACAUCAAAUGGCGAAGUGAUACUUUUUUCCCACUCUCUGAAGAAAAGUAACAAAUUAACGUAUGCAAAAGUUAUCAAUAACAAGUCGCUUACACGUUUGCUAACAGAUACCCGUCUUGCAGGGUUCAUACGACAAUCUUCGGAACAAUAUCGAAUUUUACAAUUCAGACAUUGGGUAAAUUGUUGCAACUAUAGUGUUUUGGCGCUACUAAUGUAUUGUUACACGCCAAGCAACGCACAUUUUUUACAACUGUUUCUAAAGGUCUCAUACAGUGGUCACAAAUAAAAGUAAUAUCGAGAACUUAUAUAAUUUACUUACUUUUAUUCAGGGUCAUUCCCCUUUUUGUUUGAUGA